UUUGUACUCCCUCCGUCCCAAAAUUCUUGUCUUAAAUUUGUCUAAAUACGGAUGUAUCUAGUUACAUUUUAGUGUUAGAUACAUCUGUAUCUAAACAAAUGUAAGACAAGAAUUUUGGGUCAGAUGGAAUACUAC
Molecule: non-coding RNA, 135 nt
Organism: Triticum aestivum (bread wheat)
Lineage: Eukaryota; Viridiplantae; Streptophyta; Magnoliopsida; Poales; Poaceae
Source: Rfam